This 818-nucleotide long non-coding RNA is filed under the name Astyanax mexicanus (Mexican tetra). RNAcentral's name for it is "lncRNA (ENSAMXG00005019573.1)". The record is from RNAcentral. Lineage: Eukaryota; Metazoa; Chordata; Actinopteri; Characiformes; Acestrorhamphidae.
CCCUUUCUCUCUUUCACACACACACACACACACACAGUGACGCAUACAGAAAUGAACCAAGGAAAUCCCCAAACAACUCUUACGACACAGCAUGCUGCCACACUAUUUUCUUUACCGCCCGUAUUUAGAGAAAUCCCGCCUUUCUCACUUCUGAUUGGAUAGUAUUUGUCACUACCUGCGCCUGGAUUGGCUAGUAGUAAGUACUCACAAGCCAUCCUCCAAUCGGAUGAGACGUUCACUCUGCGCCUUAAGUAAUGGGGCGGGGUUCGUCAGACAUAAUUCGGGCGGGUUAUGAAAUUUGCCGCUCAGCUCUUUUGGUAGCUAGUUAACCUAGCUAGCGUUGCGCUCCUCACGGUAUCAGCGUCGUCAUUUUAGACGGUGGACAAACGUCGUUUUCGCACACGGAACGAGCUCUAAAAAGGUCCUCUCUCAGUAAUCCAGCCGCUCCGGUGUGUGACCGCGGACGCAGCGCUCCAGCCCCCCCAGCCCAGCCGCCUCCGAAUCAGGGAGAAUAUAUGAAGACAUCGUACGAAGUGCCGCGGGAAACACUGCUCUCAGAAAUGUACGGCACGGCGGGAAUGCCCGAGCUCCUGCCCCCGGCGGAGUGCGAGCUCAGACCCAGCCCGCUGUACAGCGGCGUGGAGGCGCAGAGGAGCGGCGCUGAGAUGCGGCCUCCUCCGCAGAGAACACAGAGAGCCCCCAAACUCGGCCAGAUCGGCCGCUCCAAGAGAGUGGUCAUUGACGAUGAAGACUUGGAUGACAUCAUGAACAACAACAGAAGCUUUCCUGUAUCCAUCAGUGUCUCACCUAUUGCCUAA